This 468-nucleotide ribosomal RNA is filed under the name uncultured bacterium. Its description in RNAcentral is "partial 16S ribosomal RNA". It matches the Rfam family "Bacterial small subunit ribosomal RNA", at positions 28 to 507 of the family's 1533-position model. The record is from RNAcentral.
GACGAACGCUGGCGGCGUGCUUAACACAUGCAAGUCGAACGGAAAGGCCCUGCUUUUGUGGGGUGCUCGAGUGGCGAACGGGUGAGUAACACGUGAGUAACCUGCCCUUGACUUUGGGAUAACUUCAGGAAACUGGGGCUAAUACCGGAUAGGAGCUCCUGCUGCAUGGUGGGGGUUGGAAAUUUUCGGCGGUUGUGGAUGGACUCGCGGCUUAUCAGCUUGUUGGUGGGGUAGUGGCUUACCAAGGCUUUGACGGGUAGCCGGCCGGAGAGGGUGACCGGCAACAUUGGGACUGAGAUACGGCCCAGACUCCUACGGGAGGCAGCAGUGGGGAAUAUUGCACAAUGGGCGGAAGCCUGAUGCAGCAACGCCGCGUGCGGGAUGACGGCCUUCGGGUUGUAAACCGCUUUCGCCUGUGACGAAGCGUGAGUGACGGUAAUGGGUAAAGAAGCACCGGCUAACUACGUG